Molecule: non-coding RNA, 1903 nt
Organism: Gasterosteus aculeatus aculeatus (three-spined stickleback)
Lineage: Eukaryota; Metazoa; Chordata; Actinopteri; Perciformes; Gasterosteidae
Source: RefSeq, a predicted model, not a curated record
CGGCGGCUGGGAGACAGCGCCGGGGUAUCGAUGGAAAAUAAUAAAUGACCAACUGAGGCUGUUGUGAUUUGCUAGAUUAGGACACCUAAUCAUAAUGAUGAUCAUAAACUUUUAUUUCCAGGGGUAAGGCGAAUAAAUCAGACAAUAUCAAAAUCCUACGAAAAUAAAAUGGAAUUAAAUAUACUGUGUCAGUGGACCUCGUUCUUUAUGAUAUGAUUUCAUCAUUAUUUUAUUAUAAACUAAACUUAACCCCUUUCGGCCGCUCAGUCGACUGGCCUCUCUUCACUUGCAACGUAAACAAAUACAAAAGGUGCAAAGCAAGAACUUGAAGAUGGAGAAAUGACGGCUGCACAAAUUCGCGGAGAGACAGGAAAUAAUGAUCAAAUGUGUGUGUUUGUGUGAUCUGUGUGUGUCUUCUGAGUAAAAACGCACAUAUGAUUUCGAUUCGAUUUGUUUUGGUCUGUUUGUUUAAGUGCCUCACACUAUAAGAGAACACUUUAUGUGUUUAUAGCGCCAAUGAUCAGUCACUCACAGGGUUACGGCGAAAAUCACAUCUCGGCUGUGCCUUUGCAAGUUACACAAGUAAUCAUCUGCGUUACGUUUCACAUGGACCAAUUAAAAUCGAGAUAUCGCUGGACAUUUGCGCGGUGACGUCACUACGCCAGCCACGUUGUAAGGCUAAUCCCCGCGAAAUUCAAAGUCAAUAUGACGGCGGUGUUCAACGAUAUCACCGAUCUGAGACGAGUUUACACCGCUGCGAUCGACGUCUUCACGAGGAAACAGCGGCGGGUGGAUUUUACGUACAAAUAAUCGACUGAUCGAUUCUGUACAACCCGUCAUCCAACUGUUCGUCUAACUAACGUACGGCUCCCAGCCUCGGACACUCCUGCACAAGUCGACAAAAUAGUCUUUCCCAGGUGGGAGAUGACCGUGCAGCUUGAGAAUUCAUCGUGCCAGCCUUGAAAUUAAAUACCUGCAAUUAAAUACUGUGACUUUGUCAGUGGACCUUGUUUUUUAUGAUAUGAUUUCAUAAUUAUUCUAUUGAAUAUAUUUCCAUUAUUUGAAAUCGUUUCAUGGCAAUCUGCCUUUGUAAAAAGUCUGCUGUCGUAUUUUACUACUGCUUUAGUAAUGAUACAUCACUCACUCGGAGUAAAAACCCUUGGCUCCAUGGGUGACUGCAACCUAAACUUAACCCCUUUAGGCCGCUCAGCCGACUGGCUUCUCUUCACUUGCGUCCGGAUACAGGACCAUCGUUAUUGCAUAGAAAGAAAAUGACCAAAUAAAGCAGUAUCCCAGAUCUGUUUGCUAUCUGAACGUAUUUGGUUGGUUUACUGUGACUGAUUAACCUAAAUGAUAUUAGAUUGUAAAUAAACAGAUCCAUCAAAGUGUAUGCUAAUUCUAGCAGGCUAUACACUUUUCCAGCAUAUUGUUUGUCUGGCUUCUAAAUGUGUGCAUGCGUACAAAAAUGAUACGUUACUGCCUUUCUGUUUAGAAAGGUUUACUUUGUUAAGUGACUUGUAUUGCUUUCUGAGGCAAAACUGGCUUAUUGUAACAUAAUAUACAGUCAAUAAAAGACUGGCUCAGUGCUCCUUCCCCCACAGCCAGGGGCCUCCAGAAUCACGCAAACUCCCUGCAGGCCGGUGACACAAAGUGACUAGCAAAAUAACGCAGGAAACCUUGGUGGGUUUUUUCUGCAAGCUCAAAAUUAUCUUUAUCCAAUGAAACAACAUUAACAGAUCAAGGCUGAAUAAUAAACAUUUGACAUUGUUAUUACUUCUGAUUCCAAUUCUCCAAUAUAAAACAUGUGUUUUAUUACUCACGUAAUAACCUUACAAUAAUCAAUAAAAUGACUGUUCUCCAUCCUCUUGUCAUAUUCGAUGUAAAAGCGAAUUGUAAAAUCAGG